AGAGGUAGUGGGGCACGUGCCCUA
RNAcentral lists this non-coding RNA (24 nucleotides) under Arabidopsis thaliana (thale cress). Lineage: Eukaryota; Viridiplantae; Streptophyta; Magnoliopsida; Brassicales; Brassicaceae. The record is from RNAcentral.